AACUUUCAACAAUGGAUCUCUUGGUUCCGGCAUCGAUGAAGAACGCAGCGAAAUGCGAUAACUAAUGUGAAUUGCAGAAUUCAGUGAAUCAUCGAGUCUUUGAACGCACAUUGCGCCCCCUGGUAUUCCGGGGGGGCAUGCCUGUCCGAGCGUCA
RNAcentral lists this ribosomal RNA (155 nucleotides) under Aspergillus aculeatus ATCC 16872. RNAcentral describes it as "5.8S ribosomal RNA". It matches the Rfam family "5.8S ribosomal RNA". From Rfam's summary of the family: 5.8S ribosomal RNA (5.8S rRNA) is a component of the large subunit of the eukaryotic ribosome. It is transcribed by RNA polymerase I as part of the 45S precursor that also contains 18S and 28S rRNA. The record is from Rfam by way of RNAcentral. Lineage: Eukaryota; Fungi; Ascomycota; Eurotiomycetes; Eurotiales; Aspergillaceae.